UACGGGGGGCGCAAGCGUUGUUCGGAUUUACUGGGCGUAAAGGGAGCGUAGGCGGCCAGAAAAAGACAGUUGUGAAAUCUCCGAGCUUAACUCGGAAAGGUCAACUGAUACUGUGCGGCUAGAGUGCGGAAGGGGCAACUGGAAUUCUUGGUGUAGCGGUGAAAUGCGUAGAUAUCAAGAGGAACACCUGCGGCGAAGGCGGGUUGCUGGGCCGACACUGACGCUGAGGCGCGAAAGCCAGGGGAGCGAACGGG
This 254-nucleotide ribosomal RNA is filed under the name uncultured bacterium. RNAcentral's name for it is "partial 16S ribosomal RNA". It matches the Rfam family "Bacterial small subunit ribosomal RNA", at positions 524 to 776 of the family's 1533-position model. The record is from RNAcentral.